UACAGAGGGGGCAAGCGUUGUUCGGAAUUACUGGGCGUAAAGGGCGCGUAGGCGGUCAGCACAAGUCAGUUGUGAAAUCUCCGAGCUUAACUCGGAAAGGUCAACUGAUACUGUGCGACUAGAGUGCAGAAGGGGCAACUGGAAUUCUCGGUGUAGCGGUGAAAUGCGUAGAUAUCGAGAGGAACACCUGCGGCGAAGGCGGGUUGCUGGGCUGACACUGACGCUGAGGCGCGAAAGCUAGGGGAGCGAACGGG
RNAcentral lists this ribosomal RNA (254 nucleotides) under uncultured bacterium. RNAcentral's name for it is "partial 16S ribosomal RNA". It matches the Rfam family "Bacterial small subunit ribosomal RNA", at positions 524 to 776 of the family's 1533-position model. The record is from RNAcentral.